Molecule: ribosomal RNA, 460 nt
Filed under: uncultured bacterium
Lineage: Bacteria
Description: partial 16S ribosomal RNA
Rfam family: Bacterial small subunit ribosomal RNA
Source: RNAcentral
CCUACGGGUGGCAGCAGUGAGGAAUAUUGGUCAAUGGCCGUAAGGCUGAACCAGCCAAGUCGCGUGAAGGAAGAAGGAUCUCUGGUUUGUAACCUUCUUUUAUAGGGGAAUAAAGGUAUCCACGUGUGGAUAUUUACAUGUACCCUAUGAAUGAGCAUCGGCUAACUCCGUGCCAGCAGCCGCGAUAAUACGUAGGAUGCGAGCGUUAUCCGGAUUUAUUGGGUUUAAAGGGUGCGUAGGUUGUUUUUUAAGUCAGCGGUGAAAGUUUGUGGCUCAACCAUAAAAUUGCCGUUGAAACUGGAAGUCUUGAGUGUGUUUGAGGUAGGCGGAAUGCGUGGUGUAGCGGUGAAAUGCAUAGAUAUUACGCAGAACUCCGAUUGCGAAGGCAGUUUACUAAGCCAUAACUGACACUGAAGCACGAAAGCGUGGGGAUCAAACAGGAUUAGAUACCCUAGUAGUC